Molecule: transfer RNA, 87 nt
Filed under: Desarmillaria tabescens
Lineage: Eukaryota; Fungi; Basidiomycota; Agaricomycetes; Agaricales; Physalacriaceae
Description: Armillaria tabescens (ringless honey mushroom) tRNA
Rfam family: tRNA
About the family: Transfer RNA (tRNA) molecules are approximately 80 nucleotides in length. Their secondary structure includes four short double-helical elements and three loops (D, anti-codon, and T loops). Further hydrogen bonds mediate the characteristic L-shaped molecular structure. tRNAs have two regions of fundamental functional importance: the anti-codon, which is responsible for specific mRNA codon recognition, and the 3' end, to which the tRNAs corresponding amino acid is attached (by aminoacyl-tRNA synthetases). tRNAs cope with the degeneracy of the genetic code in two manners: having more than one tRNA (with a specific anti-codon) for a particular amino acid; and 'wobble' base-pairing, i.e. permitting non-standard base-pairing at the 3rd anti-codon position.
Source: Rfam by way of RNAcentral
GGGCUUAUAGCGCAGUGGUAGCGCGCACGCUUUGCAUUAUGUAGUCGCGGCUGUGUGAGGUCCGGGGUUCAAUCCCCCGUGAGUCCA